AGAGUUUGAUCCUGGCUCAGAAUCAACGCUGGCGGCGUGCCUAACACAUGCAAGUCGCACGAGAAAGGGGAGCAAUCCCUGAGUAAAGUGGCGCACGGGUGAGUAACACGUGAAUGAUCUACCUCCGAGUGGGGAAUAACUGAGAGAAAUCUUAGCUAAUACCGCAUAACACUUACGAGUCAAAGCAGCAAUGCGCUUGGAGAGGAGUUCGCGGCCGAUUAGCUAGUUGGCGGGGUAAUGGCCCACCAAGGCGAUGAUCGGUAUCCGGCCUGAGAGGGCGCACGGACACACUGGAACUGAAACACGGUCCAGACUCCUACGGGAGGCAGCAGUGGGGAAUUUUGCGCAAUGGGGGAAACCCUGACGCAGCAACGCCGCGUGGAGGAUGAAGUAUCUUGGUACGUAAACUCCUUUCGAUGGGGAAGAUAAUGACGGUACCCAUAGAAGAAGCCCCGGCUAACUUCGUGCCAGCAGCCGCGGUAAUACGAGGGGGGCAAGCGUUGUUCGGAAUUAUUGGGCGUAAGGGGUGCGUAGGCGGUUUGACAAGUCUGAUGUGAAAUCUCUGGGCUCAACCCAGAGUCUGCAUCGGAAACUGUCGGGCUUGAGUAUGGGAGAGGUGAGUGGAAUUUCCGGUGUAGCGGUGAAAUGCGUAGAUAUCGGAAGGAACACCUGUGGCGAAAGCGGCUCACUGGACCAUAACUGACGCUGAGGCACGAAA
Molecule: ribosomal RNA, 718 nt
Filed under: uncultured bacterium
Lineage: Bacteria
Description: bacterial SSU rRNA
Rfam family: Bacterial small subunit ribosomal RNA
Source: RNAcentral